RNAcentral lists this long non-coding RNA (551 nucleotides) under Gossypium raimondii (Peruvian cotton). RNAcentral describes it as "long non-coding RNA (GRAI_LNC001575)". Lineage: Eukaryota; Viridiplantae; Streptophyta; Magnoliopsida; Malvales; Malvaceae. The record is from RNAcentral.
CUUAAGUUGUUGGUAUACAUUUAUGAGAUUGUGAUAAUAUAAUGGUUUGGCAUUGGAAAAAUUAAAAGCAAACAAAACAUAAAGAGAACACUUGUUAAGAUGCACCAAUCCAUUCCUUUUCUUUAUUCGUAAAGAAAUUAUGCAAAUCUCAACAUAAUUAAUAAGACAGCGUUUGUGAUGAUAUCAAAACUAGUAAAGUCGCUGCUGCAUAUCGUAUUUAGAACAUAAAGUAGCCAGCAACGGCGGCUGCUCCAACUCCAACAAUAGCCGAGAUCUCAAGAGCGGCACCGCUGCUGGGACUAGGAGCACUGGCCUGAGAAGGAGGGGAGCUAGCAUCUCCAGGUGAACCUGAGGGGCUGCCACCGGGUGCGGGGGCGGGGGCCGCAGCAGCAGUGGAAACCAAGGCAAAGAGGGCCAUGGUGACCAAAGCAAGAACAACAAUUUGGCGGGCCAUUGAGUUUAUUAGAAAGGAAAAGACUGGGGGACGGAGAAAUGCAGUUGAUCUCUAAGGCUGUUGUAUUAAACAAUAGAGAAGCACUACACUACACAGU